Molecule: long non-coding RNA, 1758 nt
Organism: Eriocheir sinensis (Chinese mitten crab)
Lineage: Eukaryota; Metazoa; Arthropoda; Malacostraca; Decapoda; Varunidae
Exons: 2
Source: RefSeq, a predicted model, not a curated record
AUACAGCCAGGUGAAGGCAUUAACACUCGCUGAGCCACUUCUGGAAUCACACUUCAUGAACCGCAAUACUCUUCAAAUGUUGGAUUGUGUGCUUUCAGUUCUGCCGCCCCAAGACUGUACAAUAAAUUCCCUCCUGACAUUAGAAGAACAAAGGAUCUCUCCAAAUUUAAGAAAGAACUAAAAACUUUCCUGUUCUCUGACUGCUACGACGUGGAAACAUUGACAAUUAACAUGGCAUAUAAGUUGUGAUCAAUAUUGAAAAUUUAAUGAAUUAAAAUAUGUGGGUCCUGCAGAGCACUUCGGUGGAAGUGGGACCAGAUAAAUAAGAAACACAAGUAACAAGUAAGUAAUGAUUCUCUAAUGUUUGUUAGUUGGUUAGUGUCAUUCUCAAGUAGCCAAUAAUCUUCUUUGCUGAGGACACGUCUAAGUCGUUGUGGAGAAAUAAGCUUGCAUCGCUCUAGAAUUGGAAGCAGUGAUGGGAUUCAGCCGGUUCGCAAGAACCUGUUCUUGGAAUUUCUUUACUCCCAAGAACUGGUUGUACAUGUUAGCUUAAAUCAGGGGUUCUCAUUUUUUCACCCCAUGAACACCUUAUACUUAUAACUUAUUUUGGUAAACCCCUCAUAGAUCUGUUACUGGCUUUUGAAAGUCGAAAACACGACUAAAACCAGAUUUGAUGUCGGGUGGAGCCAAACACGGGUUCAAGACAAAUGUGGCAUCACCGAUUCGAACGAGAGCGCUGUUACAAAGGCUACACCGACAGCAACUGCUGCCAGAACCAACUGUCAUCCGCCUCACCUGUGUCUUCCUGAAGAAUACAGGCCAGCUGUCAUGCCUGUGAUAACCUCACAGGACUUCCCCAGGGCUCACAAUGAUCUUCAGACCACUGUAGCUGAGGGACCAUUAAGAAACAUGAUUCCACGCUGCUACUGGGUUAACUCCAUGACUGCGGGUUUCCUACAAGAAGACAUCACCAGCUACAGGAAUGGAACAAAAAGUAGCUGCUACAAUUUAAUGAAGAAAAAUGUAAAGCCCUGCACCAUGGGAGGGGAUAUUCAGCAUACCAACACCACAUGGGAAACACUUCACUAUCCACCGCAGAGGCAGAGAGAGACCUGGGAGUGUAUGUUACCAGGCUACCAGUGAAGGCCAAACCCAUGCCAAUUGCAGUGGACGGGUCAACAAAACAUUAAGUCGGUAGGGUAUGUCAUUGGGUAUAUACAUUUUGAACAAGGUAUUAAAUGUAACAGUGUUGAGCAUGCAUGAAUUUGUUGGUGAGGCAUCCUGGUGGCAGAAACCACAGACAAUGGUCCUUGCUAGAUGCAGGGGCUGGCACACUGAUCAGGUUAUUGACCUAAAAGCUGGGACCUUACAUUAUCUUCUAUAUGGAAAGAAGUUUCCCAGGCAAGGAAAUAAAUCAAUGGUCAAAUUAAUGUAUUUAGAGUGCCUUUUAUUUACAUAACAAGUGUAAGUCAUGAACUAUGAAGAAUAUUCAGAGUUAGCAGUUUAACAAAGAAGUAAAAAGAAAGGAGGAGAUCAAUAAUAACCUUCAGCUUUUCAUAUACAUGCCUUAAAUUAUAGUAAAUUGAGUAUCACAAAUUGCAUGAUUCACAUGCACACUCCACUGAGGUGCUGUCCACCACGUCCCAAGCCAACCUGGCAGGAUGACACACAGGCGGGGCACAGCAGCACAUUUACAUUAAUGACUCGCAUAAAAAAAGAAACAAGGAUGCUUUUGAAUGGUCAAUGUGAAUUAAACUU